GCAGCCGCGGUAACACCGGCAGCUCUAGUGGUAGCCAUUUUUAUUGGGCCUAAAGCGUUCGUAGCCGGUUUGAUAAGUCUCUGGUGAAAUCCUGUAGCUUAACUGUGGGAAUUGCUGGAGAUACUAUUAGACUUGAGGUCGGGAGAGGUUAGCGGUACUCCCAGGGUAGGGGUGAAAUCCUGUAAUCCUGGGAGGACCACCUGUGGCGAAGGCGGCUAACUGGAACGAACCUGACGGUGAGGGACGAAAGCCAGGGGCGCGAACCGGAUUAGAUACCCC
Molecule: ribosomal RNA, 279 nt
Filed under: uncultured Anaerorhabdus sp.
Lineage: Bacteria; Bacillati; Bacillota; Erysipelotrichia; Erysipelotrichales; Erysipelotrichaceae
Description: partial 16S ribosomal RNA
Rfam family: Archaeal small subunit ribosomal RNA
Source: RNAcentral